Molecule: ribosomal RNA, 404 nt
Filed under: uncultured bacterium
Lineage: Bacteria
Description: partial 16S ribosomal RNA
Rfam family: Bacterial small subunit ribosomal RNA
Source: RNAcentral
GACGAACGCUGGCGGCGUGCCUAAUACAUGCAAGUCGAACGCAGUGGGGAAGGGUGAGUAACACGUGGGUAACCUCCCCAUCCGAGGGGAUAACACUUGGAAACAGGUGCUAAACCGAUACUGAUGGAUUGAACCGCGGUGCAUUAGCUAGUUUGUGGGUUACCGGCUCACCAAGUACACGAUGCAUAGCCGACCUGAGAGGGUGACCUGCCACACUGGGACUGAGACACGGCCCAGACUCCUACGGGAGGCAGCAGUAGGGAAUCUUCGGCAAUGGACGAAAGUCUGACCGAGCAACGCCGCGUGAGUGAAGAAGGUUUUCGGAUCGUAAAACUCUGUUGUUAGAGAAGCGGUAUCUAACCAGAAAGCCACGGCUAACUACGUGCCAGCAGCCGCGGUAAUUC